This 253-nucleotide ribosomal RNA is filed under the name uncultured bacterium. RNAcentral's name for it is "partial 16S ribosomal RNA". It matches the Rfam family "Bacterial small subunit ribosomal RNA", at positions 524 to 776 of the family's 1533-position model. The record is from RNAcentral.
UACGAGAGCCUCGAGCGUUAUCCGGAAUUAUUGGGCGUAAAGGGUGCGUAGGUUGUUCUGUUAGUCUUUUGUCAAAUCCCCAAGCUCAACUUGGGAUAUGCGAAGGAAACGGCAGGACUUGAAAGUGCGAGAGGUAUACGGAACUCAUGGUGUAGGGGUGAAAUCCGUUGAUAUCAUGGGGAACACCAAAAGCGAAGGCAGUAUACUGGCGCAUAUUUGACACUGAAGCACGAAAGCGUGGGUAGCGAAUGGG